This is a non-coding RNA of Peromyscus maniculatus bairdii (prairie deer mouse), 351 nucleotides long. NCBI's taxonomy places the organism in Eukaryota, Metazoa, Chordata, Mammalia, Rodentia, Cricetidae. The record is from RefSeq and is a predicted model, not a curated record.
GUGAAAGGCAGAAUGGAGAAAACCCUCCUGGGAGAGAUCUCAGAGUAUAUUGAAGAGGUGUUUCUUCCUGAUGACUGCUUUAUUCUCGUCAAGCUUUCCCUGGAAUGGCUCUGACUUCUGAGACUGGAGGUGAAUGCUGAGACAGUGCGGUACUCCAUCUGCACAUCCAAGCUCCAAGUGAAGCCUGGUGAUGUGGCUGUUCAUGGUGAGGCCGUGGUGUGUGUCACACCCAGGGAAAACAGCAAGAGCUCCAUGUAUUAUGUGCUGCAGUUUCUGAAAGAGGAUCUACCCAAGGUAAGACCAAGAGUCCUCUCAUGGAUAGAUAGCCAAGAGUGGGGGUGGGGAACAGAG